Molecule: ribosomal RNA, 253 nt
Filed under: uncultured bacterium
Lineage: Bacteria
Description: partial 16S ribosomal RNA
Rfam family: Bacterial small subunit ribosomal RNA
Source: RNAcentral
UACAGAGGGGGCAAGCGUUGUUCGGAAUUACUGGGCGUAAAGGGCGCGUAGGCGGCCUGUUAAGUCGAACGUGAAAUCCCUGGGCUCAACCCAGGAACUGCGUCCGAUACUGGCAGGCUUGAAUCCGGGAGAGGGAUGUGGAAUUCCAGGUGUAGCGGUGAAAUGCGUAGAGAUCGGGAAGAACAUCAGUGGCGAAGGCGGCCUGCUGGGCUGUUGCUGACGCUGAGGCGCGACAGCGUGGGGAGCAAACAGG